Molecule: long non-coding RNA, 369 nt
Filed under: Phoenix dactylifera (date palm)
Lineage: Eukaryota; Viridiplantae; Streptophyta; Magnoliopsida; Arecales; Arecaceae
Description: long non-coding RNA (PDAC_LNC016771)
Source: RNAcentral
UCUCCGAGCCCACGGGGAGGGAGCUGAGGACCCUAGACUCUGUGCGAGCCCUCGGGAGGGGCAACGACCUGACCGAGCUCCUGCGGGAGGACGCCCUGGCGAGCGUGGGUCUGAGCUCGGCGCGCCCCGAGGGUAAGGGCGGCUACGUUAUUUUCAUUCUUUGACUUUCGCUUUUACUGCCACUGGCCCGACACUUAACAAAAUUUUUGAUUUCAGAUAUUCCCCGUUUGCCGACCAGCAACACGUCGCUUUUUUCCCGCCUGAGGAGGCGGAAGGCCGAGGCCGGGGGGGCUAAUCCCCAGCCUCGGAGGAGGGCAAGGACAGACGGCGCUUCCUCGUCGGCCGGGACGAGUGGCCCCGAGGCGGGGG